CGAACGCUGGCGGCGUGCUUCACACAUGCAAGUCGACCGGAAAGGCCUUGCUUUUGUGGGGUGCUCGAGUGGCGAACGGGUGAGUAACACGUGAGUAACCUGCCCUUGACUUUGGGAUAACUUCAGGAAACUGGGGCUAAUACCGGAUAGGAGCUCCUGCUGCAUGGUGGGGGUUGGAAAGUUUCGGCGGUUGGGGAUGGACUCGCGGCUUAUCAGCUUGUUGGUGGGGUAGUGGCUUACCAAGGCUUUGACGGGUAGCCGGCCUGAGAGGGUGACCGGCCACAUUGGGACUGAGAUACGGCCCAGACUCCUACGGGAGGCAGCAGUGGGGAAUAUUGCACAAUGGGCGGAAGCCUGAUGCAGCAACGCCGCGUGCGGGAUGACGGCCUUCGGGUUGUAAACCGCUUUCGCCUGUGACGAAGCGUGAGUGACGGUAAUGGGUAAAGAAGCACCGGCUAACUACGUG
RNAcentral lists this ribosomal RNA (466 nucleotides) under uncultured bacterium. RNAcentral describes it as "partial 16S ribosomal RNA". It matches the Rfam family "Bacterial small subunit ribosomal RNA", at positions 30 to 507 of the family's 1533-position model. The record is from RNAcentral.